UACGGAGGUGGCAGGCGUUACUCGGAUUGAUUGGGUGUAAAGGGUAUGUAGGCGGUGCGCUAAGUCGAAUGUGGAAUCCCUUGGCUUAACCAAGGAACUGCAUUCGAAACUGGCGUGCUUGAGUGGUGGAGAGGAAAGCGGAAUUCCCGGUGUAACAGUGAAAUGUGUAGAUAUCGGGAGGAACACCAGCGGCGAAGGCGGCUUUCUGGACAUCUACUGACGCUGAAAUACGAAAGCAUGGGGAGCAAACAGG
This 253-nucleotide ribosomal RNA is filed under the name uncultured bacterium. Its description in RNAcentral is "partial 16S ribosomal RNA". It matches the Rfam family "Bacterial small subunit ribosomal RNA", at positions 524 to 776 of the family's 1533-position model. The record is from RNAcentral.